Molecule: ribosomal RNA, 440 nt
Filed under: uncultured bacterium
Lineage: Bacteria
Description: bacterial SSU rRNA
Rfam family: Bacterial small subunit ribosomal RNA
Source: RNAcentral
GUACGGGAGGCAGCAGUGGGGAAUAUUGGACAAUGGGCGCAAGCCUGAUCCAGCCAUGCCGCGUGAGUGAUGAAGGCCUUAGGGUUGUAAAGCUCUUUUGUCCGGGACGAUAAUGACGGUACCGGAAGAAUAAGCCCCGGCUAACUUCGUGCCAGCAGCCGCGGUAAUACGAAGGGGGCUAGCGUUGCUCGGAAUCACUGGGCGUAAAGGGCGCGUAGGCGGUCUUUUAAGUCGGGGGUGAAAGCCUGUGGCUCAACCACAGAAUUGCCUUCGAUACUGGGAGACUUGAGUUCGGUAGAGGUUGGUGGAACUGCGAGUGUAGAGGUGAAAUUCGUAGAUAUUCGCAAGAACACCGGUGGCGAAGGCGGCCAACUGGACCGACACUGACGCUGAGGCGCGAAAGCGUGGGGAGCAAACAGGAUUAGAAACCCCAGUAGUCC